UAAAGAGUUCUAUAACUCCCAAACCCAUGUGAACAUACCUAACGUUGCCUCGGCAGGUCGCACCUACCUUGUAGCACCCUACCCUGUAGGGCCUACCCGGGAGGUGCGGGUAAGCCUGCCGGCGGCCCACCAAACUCUGUUUGAUAUUGAAUUCUGAACCUAUAACUAAAUAAGUUAAAACUUUCAACAACGGAUCUCUUGGUUCUGGCAUCGAUGAAGAACGCAGCGAAAUGCGAUAAGUAAUGUGAAUUGCAGAAUUCAGUGAAUCAUCGAAUCUUUGAACGCAUAUUGCGCCCAUUAGUAUUCUAGUGGGCAGGACCGUUCGAGCGUCAUUUCAACCCUUAAGCCUUCGUUGCUUAGUGUUGGGAGCCUACGGCAACGUAGCUCCUCAAAGUUAGUGGCGGAGUUGGUUCACACUCUAGACGUAGUAAUUUUUUAUCUCGCCUAUUAGUUGGACUAAUCCCCUGCCGUAAAACCCCUAAUUUAUCAAGGUUGACCUCGAAUCGGUUCAGACAAACUCGCUAAAUUGAAGCAUCUUAGUCAGCGAAGGAAAAGAAACCAACAGGGAUUGCCCUAGUAACGGCGAGUGAAGCGGCAACAGCUCAAAUUUGAAAUCUGGCCCUC
This 624-nucleotide ribosomal RNA is filed under the name fungal endophyte. RNAcentral's name for it is "eukaryotic LSU rRNA". The stretch from base 179 to 332 matches the Rfam family "5.8S ribosomal RNA". The record is from RNAcentral. Lineage: Eukaryota; Fungi.